Molecule: long non-coding RNA, 2670 nt
Organism: Prionailurus viverrinus (fishing cat)
Lineage: Eukaryota; Metazoa; Chordata; Mammalia; Carnivora; Felidae
Exons: 5
Source: RefSeq, a predicted model, not a curated record
GGAAGGCCGACCGGUCCCCAGAUUCCUCCUCUCGGCUGAGCGUCGGGCGGGAGAGAGGGCUGACUCCGCUGGGGGGCCCUGGGGGACCACCCCGGCUGGAGCACGGAUUCUACAAUCCUAGAUUUCAGAGUCCGAGGCGGCAGGGGAAGUGGCGUCAGCAGCUGGCGUGAUCCAAUUCAAUGAACCAGAGGUGGCUUGGGAGGGAAAAGUGAGCGCGCGCGGACCCCCGCCCCCGGGUCCCGCACGUCCGGCACCGUCAGGGAGCCGCUGGAAGCCCCAGCUGCGUCCCCCCUCGCCUGCUGCCAGCUGCCCUGGGCGCCGAGGGGUCGGGUUUCCUGAGGCGCCCCUCCACGCCACCCGGCUUAGCCCCAGCUCCUUCGAGCCAGCUCCCCACCCAGGUGGUGGGCUCCCAAAACCGGAGCCACCACCCCCUCCCCAGCCGCCGGAAACGCCAAGCCGGGGCUGGAGCGGGAGCACCUCCCCGAGGGGCGCUCAGCGCCGUGCUCCCUGAGGGCCGGGCGGGAGCGGCCAGGCCGCGGACACCUCUCGGCAAAGGAAACUCGAUCCCUCCUGCGGCCGGCGGGGACAGAAGGGCCUCCGCGGGCGCCGGAACCCUCCUCGGACCCGGAGCGAGGGGAGGUGCGCGAGGGCGCCCGGCGCUGCGGCAAGCGGGUCUCCCGGAGCGCUCCGAAGACACCGCCCCGGGGCGGAGACGAAGACGCGGUCCUCCCGGGACAAGAGACCAGCCUGAGAAAGGGCGGUAUAGCUUCCAGUCUCCACAACAGCCCUAUGAGAUCCCACUCACACCGCUUCCCCAAAUUAUGUCAGAGGCUAUAAAAGAUGCCACAGCCCUAUGCUGCCCUGGAGGCCAGGGCACCGCCCUGCAAGGUUUCUCAGGCACCGAAGGCUGAGCUGAGUGGAGAGAGGAGUCCUGGACGCCCUGUUGAGAAAGACAGACUGGGGGUUGCAGCAGCUGAAGAUCACAAGAGAGAAGCAGAUAUCCGAACCCUGGUCUUCCUGCACUAAAGCCCUCAGCUGAUACACCGAAGUGCGUCCCAGAAAAAGCACCAAGCACUGCACAAAUGGAAAGCAUUUUGUCAAAAUUAUGAUUAUAAACUCAUGCCCGAUUCGUGAGUUACAAAAACAAAACGUAAACAGCACAGCCUGAGUUGUUAAAGCGACUUUUUUCUAAAAGCUCAACGUGCUUUCACUUCAUGGUCUCUCUUCUCCUAAUUUUAUGAUUGUCGUUUUUCUAACUGUUCUCUAAGAGCGCUGUCUCCCAACACUCCUCGGAGGAAAGGAGGAAAUAAGCAGAAGUCAAACCGUAUUACAGUCAGUUCCCAGGGAACAGUGGGAGAUUGUGCUUCGCUGGGCUUUGGUGUUGCAAAAUAUCACUUGACAAAAAAAUUGGAAGCAACUUAGAUGGUUAUCAGCAGGAUGGAGUCAGCUAGGGGAUCAUUCUAAACAACCAUCCAGAGAUGUAGCAACAUGAAAAUAAUGCUUACAGUAUAGUUGUGAGCAAAAAGGAGAAGACAAAAAACACUGUGCAUGCACUCUGUCCUUGCAACCACUAAAAAUAAAUAUAAGUGCUCGUGAUCCAAGACUCAAAAGGACCAUGCACAAAGGAAACAGGCUUUGUUUAAGGUCGAGAGAUUAUGGCUGAUUUUUUCCUCUUAAUUUCCUAAAUAUUCUACAAUAUACUAUAUGGCCUUAAUAACUAAACACACGCAUAGCUCUAUCUUUAAACGUGGUAAUUCUUUUUUUUUUUUUUGAUGUCUAUUUAUUUUUGAGAGACAGAGACAGAGUGUGAGUGGGAGAGGGGCAGAGACAAAGGAAGACACAGAAUCGGAAGCAGGCUCCAGGCUCUGAGCUGUCAGCCCAGAGCCCCACGUGGGGCUAGAACUCACCAACUGUGAGAUUGUGACCUGAGCCGAAGUUGGAAGCUUAGCGGACAGUGCCACGGAGGCACUGAGACACCCCUAAACAUGGCAACUCUUAAUGUGAUAUCUACGUUGGAAAAACUUUUUUAAACACAAAAGCAUUGGAAGAUCUAUUGAAAUAAACAAUGCUAGUUUGAGAGUACAUAGAAAUUUAAAUGUUUUAAAUUUCAAAAACUACUAUUAACACAUAAGGUUAAAAGUUUGGAAGGACAUACUCCAAAAAUGUUAGUCACAAGUCCAAGGGGUAGGAAUGUAGGAGAUUUUUACUUUCUUCUUUAUGAUUUGCUAUAAUGUCUGAUUUUCUUUACCACGGUAGCCCAUUGUUUUCACGAUCACACACAAAACACUAAGAUCCAGUAUAACUGGGCAAAUGGCACAGAUGGACAAUUCACAAAAUCGGAGUUUCAAAUGAUCAAUUAACAGGUUUCUUAAAAAAAAAAGCGUUUAUUAAAUCAACGAAUUAUAUCAUUCCUGCCUCUACUUUCAUCAAAUCGGCGAAUGAUUUUUUAAACUACAUUACCUACAGCCAGAGAGACAGGCACUCACACUUACUGCUUCUGAGAUUAUGACAGAUAUUGGAAUUUCCAGAAAGCAGUCUUGUAAUAUGUAUUAAGAACCAUCAAAAUGUCUAUAUUCUUUAGGGCGUCUGGGUGGCUCAGUCGGUUCAGCAUCAGACUUUUUUUUUUUUAACUUUUUUUAAUGUUUAUUUAUUUUUGAGACAGAGAGAAAC